RNAcentral lists this long non-coding RNA (523 nucleotides) under Panax ginseng (ginseng). RNAcentral describes it as "long non-coding RNA (PGIN_LNC006890)". The record is from RNAcentral. Lineage: Eukaryota; Viridiplantae; Streptophyta; Magnoliopsida; Apiales; Araliaceae.
ACGGAUCAUACAGAUCCUUGCAAUAAAGGAUAUCCUCCAUUCUGGGCUUCCAGAUCGAAAAAUUUGAAGAGGUCAAUUUAAUCAUGGCUCCGACUGAUUCUUCCAUAAAAUUUAUCAAAAACAACCAAGCAAAUAACCUUAGCUCUGAUACCAGUUGUUGGGAAAAAAAUCACCUCCCAAAUACUGUUGUCUUUUAGACGGAUAAAAUAUCAGUACAUGCCAAAUAGAUUAAAUUUACAGUUCCACCAAAAUAAUAACCAUGAAAGAAUUAAAUAAGUAGAAAAUAUCCAACCACGAGACACCAAGAUUUUUAACCCUCUAAAACUAAGAGGUAAAAACCACGAGACAAUCUCCGAAAAAUUCACUAGAAUAAUAUGAGAGAGUACAAAGAUAUCUUAAUUUGAGUACAAACUCAACUUACUUUACCACAAUAACUAUGUGAUGGAACCCAAAUAAAACACUCUUUUAUUUGAACUAUAUUUCUCUCUCCAUUUUCUAAGUUUUAUAAAAGCUACUCUCUUUU